Orcinus orca (killer whale) is the source of this 603-nucleotide long non-coding RNA. RefSeq lists it as uncharacterized. The transcript is spliced from 3 exons. Lineage: Eukaryota; Metazoa; Chordata; Mammalia; Artiodactyla; Delphinidae. The record is from RefSeq and is a predicted model, not a curated record.
CAGAACCCUGACCCAGUUGCCUUGACAGGGCCACGCCUUCCAUUUAUAGAGCACAGGUACUGGGCAUUCGCCACUUCCAGGCCUCACACCCAACCUGCGAGGCAGGUAUUGACGGCCUCGUCUUUGCAGGUGAGGUCACUGAGCUGGGAGAUGAACUUGCUUCCACGACCCAACUACUAGAUUGGUUCCACAGCCAGUCAGAAGAUGCUGGCAGGACGGCUGAACAUGGGCCCCCGGGCAGGCUCCAGCUAUGGAGGUUCUGACUUAGCAGGGUCUGGGGGGACCAUGAGCAAGUCACUUAACCUCUUCGUGCCUCAGUUAAUGAGUAAAUGUAUGGAAUUUCCGGAAUUUCUGGCAUAGAGUAAGCACAAGAUAACUCUGUGGACAGAUAAGCCCCACCCCGACCCCUGAGAGACCCCGGCACAGCUGCAAAGGCGGCUGCAGAAGGAUCGGGAGGAGGAGAAGAUGCAUAAGGCAGCUCCCAGCCUCCCUGGGCCCACCAGGAAGAGUCGCCUGCCAGGAAGCACCUCGCGAGACCAUAGCAAGUCCCCCUCGAAUGCCCAAACCCCAAGUUUGCAAGGAGCCCACAAGAUUUUGAGUAAA